RNAcentral lists this ribosomal RNA (427 nucleotides) under uncultured beta proteobacterium. Its description in RNAcentral is "bacterial SSU rRNA". It matches the Rfam family "Bacterial small subunit ribosomal RNA", at positions 355 to 774 of the family's 1533-position model. Lineage: Bacteria; Pseudomonadati; Pseudomonadota; Betaproteobacteria. The record is from RNAcentral.
UGGGGAAUUUUGGACAAUGGGCGAAAGCCUGAUCCAGCCAUGCCGCGUGAGUGAAGAAGGCCUUCGGGUUGUAAAGCUCUUUUAGUCGGAAAGAAAGAGUUGCAAUGAAUAAUUGUGAUUUAUGACGGUACCGACAGAAAAAGCACCGGCUAACUACGUGCCAGCAGCCGCGGUAAUACGUAGGGUGCGAGCGUUAAUCGGAAUUACUGGGCGUAAAGGGUGCGCAGGCGGUUUUGCAAGUCAGAUGUGAAAGCCCCGGGCUUAACCUGGGAAUUGCGUUUGAAACUACAAGACUAGAGUGCAGCAGAGGGGAGUGGAAUUCCAUGUGUAGCAGUGAAAUGCGUAGAGAUGUGGAAGAACACCGAUGGCGAAGGCAGCUCCCUGGGUUGACACUGACGCUCAUGCACGAAAGCGUGGGGAGCAAACA